Molecule: non-coding RNA, 317 nt
Organism: Paramuricea clavata
Lineage: Eukaryota; Metazoa; Cnidaria; Anthozoa; Malacalcyonacea; Plexauridae
Source: the annotation of a GenBank genome assembly
GAAGACAAGAUGGAUAUCAAAGGAUAUUUUUGUUCACAAAUACCCGCUUAUUUUACGUUAUAGCGACUCGUUAGUUUUGGAAAUUAUAACUCAAUGGACAGGGAAAACGAUUCUGUAUUAAAGAGAAAAGGAUGUGCAGUUAUUGUGAUGUUAUUUGUUGUGAAAGACGGCCCGAAAUUUCGCUACUUCGCUGUACUGGUUUAUAAAACAUUUACAAGCAACAGAAAUUGAACUAUAUGACAAAGAAACCAAUGUGUACAAGCCAAUCAAGUUCUUGAGUUUAAAGGUCAGUUACUUUUUAAUAAUUAGUUCAUUUA